GCUUGUCUUAUAUUUAUGACGAUGAUUUGGACCGUUCUUAAGUGCUUUUGGACUACAAUUCCCAGAAUUUCCCAAGAACUCCAAGGGUUGCAGCCAAUAAAUGGAAUGAAUAAAUGAAAUGAAUGAAUGAAUGAAUGAAUAAAUAAAUCCCAAUAUGCACAUCUAAAUAAAUAAAUAAAUAAAUAAAUAAAUAAAUAAAUAAAUCCCAAAAUUAGAUUUGGCAUUUUGGAUAACUUCUGUAAAGUGCAGAUUAAAAUCCCGAGUGGAUUUAUGGAACCCCUGUAGGAGAUGCUAACCUCCACGGUUCUGAAACUAAUACAAAUAGGUUAAACCAACCACCAAACAGGCAGACAAUAAAGAAAACAGCAGUCUAAGCACACCCUCGGAGUAGCAAAAGACACAGCAGAGUAGCCAAAUUCUGUGCAGAAGUCUACCAAAAGCCUGUAGAAUAUCCUUUCUUUUUCUUUUUCUUCACUGAAGAGUAUUCUAUGAUGAGUUAUGAGCCAGGUGAGUCCACCUUAACAUUGCAAAAGGCAGGGACCAUGACUGAAAAGGUCCCAUCUUUUAUGGCCAUUUUACCAGACUUUAGCUAGUUGCAGGAUGCAGGUCAUAAAUUUAUAUUUUGACUGGAAUUUGUAGAAGGAAGCUCAUGGGACUUAACUUUCCUUUUACCACAUAUCCAGAAAUGGCCAUAGUUGCAUUCACUGCACAAACAUAUCACUGAUAGAAAGAAGGAUAUUACAAUCAUAUUUUUAAAGGUAGCAAGGGAGUAAUCUAUUGUGCAUGAUCCAUAAUACAAAAAUGAGGAGCAGCUGUUUGCAAAUAGAAUCUGAAAGUCAAUUCUGUAUUAGCAGCUGCUGUCAAAUCUGUAGUACCUUAGGGGCUCCAGGAAUAGUUUUCCAACUGCAUUUACAUUCAAGCACCUUGGAGACAAGACACUCUGGCCUUCUUCUGUGCUGUUGCUUCUUUCCCCUAUCUCUCACUCCAGUAUGACCGGCAUUUAACUCCUUGCUGCUGAGAAGUAAGACCUCCCAACACUACCAAUUAGAGAGGCUGCGCCCGUAACAAAAGUUGCCAAUAAUGACAAACAAUACUGACAGCCUGAAAGGGUAGCGGUUCUGUCAAUGCUUGUCCAUUACACUAACUCAGCUAGAGCAUUUCCACUCAUGCUGAGG
This 1175-nucleotide long non-coding RNA is filed under the name Pogona vitticeps (central bearded dragon). Its description in RNAcentral is "lncRNA (ENSPVIG00000014473.1)". The record is from RNAcentral. Lineage: Eukaryota; Metazoa; Chordata; Lepidosauria; Squamata; Agamidae.